Molecule: ribosomal RNA, 1052 nt
Filed under: uncultured phyllopharyngid ciliate
Lineage: Eukaryota; Ciliophora; Phyllopharyngea
Description: bacterial SSU rRNA
Rfam family: Eukaryotic small subunit ribosomal RNA
Source: RNAcentral
CCAUCUCAUUGGGAGUUAAGCCAUGCAUGUCUAAGUAUAAGUUAUAAAGGCGAACUGCGAAUGCCUCAUUAAAACAGUUAUAGUAUCUUGAUAAGGUUUUUACAUGGAUAACCGUGGGAAACUAGAGCUAUACAUGCAUAAGGACCCCAAGGUUGUAUUUAUUAGCUAGACCCAAUGGCAUUGCCGUUGUGAGGAAUCAUAAUAACUGAUCGGAGCGCAUAAGCAUGCGCUAAAUCUUUCUAGUUUCUGCCCUAUCAGCUUUCGAUGGUAGUGUAUUGGACUACCAGGGCUAUCACGGGUAACGGAGAAUUGGGGUUCGAUUCCGGAGAAGGACCUGAGAAACGGCUACUACGUCUACGGGAGGCAGCAGGCGCGUAAAUUACCCAAUCCUGACUCAGGGAGGUAGUUCCAAGAAAUAGUUUCCCGGAGCUUACAGCUCUAGUUUUCCAAUGGAUAUAAUAUAAACCCUUAUCUGAAAUCUAUUGGAGGGCAAGUCUGGUGCCAGCAGCCGCGGUAAUUCCAGCUCCAAUAGCGUAUCUUAAUGUUGUUGCAGUUAAAAAGCUCGUAGUCGAAUUUCUGGCCGGACGCGUAGCUUUGAGCAUACGUCGGCCCAGGUCAUCCGCCUGUGAUCAGUUGCUGUCUUUUACCGGUCACUUCUAGGACCAGGCAUUUUACUUUGAAGAAAUUAGAGUGUUUCAGGCAGGCUUUCGCUUGAAUACACCAGCAUGGAAUAAUGGAAUAGGACUGGAUUCUUUUAUUGGUCAUCGAAUCUAGUAAUGAUUAAUAGGGACAGUUGGGGGCAUUCAUACUUGUGAGUCAGAGGUGAAAUUCUUCGAUUUCACAAAGAUGAACUAAUGCGAAGGCAUUUCCCAAGGAUGUUUUCAUUGAUCAAGAACGAAAGCCAGGGGAUCCAAAACGAUUAGAUACCGUUGUAGUCCUGUCCGUAAACUAUGCCGACUGGGGAUUGGUAAAAUAAUAAUUUUAUCAGCAUCCAAUGAGAAAUCAAAGUCUUUGGGUUCUAGGGGAGUAUGGUCGCAAGGCUGAAACUUAAA